CACCAGGUUGAUUCUGCCUGACGUAGACGCUAUUCCCUAAGAUUAACCCAUGCAUGUUUUUGACAUUUGAAAAAUGGACUGCUCAGUAAUACUCACUUUAUUUUAUGUAAAUUUUUGAUUAAUUAACUACGUUAAAGUGUAGAUAAGAUGUUUACAGUAAGAGUGAGACCUAUCGGCUAGUUGUUAAGGUAAUGGCUUAACAAGGCUGUGACGGGUAACGGUAUUACUUUGUAAUAUUCCGGAGAAGGAGCCUGAGAGACGGCUACUAAGUCUAAGGAUUGCAGCAGGGGCGAAACUUGACCUAUGGAUUUUAUCUGAGGCAGUUAUGGGAAGUAAUAUUAUAUUGUUUCAUAUUUUAAAAGUAUAUGAGGUGAUUAAUUGGAGGGCAAAUCAAGUGCCAGCAGCCGCGGUAAUACUUGUUCCAAGAGUGUGUAUGAUGAUUGAUGCAGUUAAAAAGUCCGUAGUUUAUUUUUUUAAGAAGCAAUAUGAGGUGUACUGUAUAGUUGGGAGAAAGAUGAAAUGUGACGACCCUGACUGGACGAACAGAAGCGAAAGCU
RNAcentral lists this ribosomal RNA (557 nucleotides) under Vairimorpha ceranae. RNAcentral describes it as "SSU rRNA". It matches the Rfam family "Microsporidia small subunit ribosomal RNA", at positions 1 to 606 of the family's 1311-position model. The record is from RNAcentral. Lineage: Eukaryota; Fungi; Microsporidia; Nosematidae.